UUGCACAGCACUGAGCAAGGAGAGAGGGCAGCUAACGCUCAAAUCCCAAACUCCCCGAAAAGCUAAAAGGAAGGGAUUUUAUUUGGGGUUUUAGGUAGGGGAGGGGGAGCAUAUGCCCUUGCUGGUCGGAGCUUUCCCACCAGCCUGUCUUUGGCCUUGAGACUACUUGCAGAGAGGAGGGAGCCCAUGACCUUGCUGGUCAGCAGCUUUCCCACCAGCCUGUAUCUCUUUGCGGGAGGAGAUAGUCCAGUUGCUUGUCCUUGACGGUGUCUGUCUCCAUGGAGGAUGGUCGAUUCUGGAGCCAGAAAGCCAGAGACUGGUUUUGAAAGUCCUGUCACCUCACCGAGCGUGUGGGCAUCCACAGUCUCUUGAUAAUGCUGCCUUGCGCUGUUCACCUGCUCGCGACUUCUCUUCUUCGACCUUCAUAUUUGACCACGUUUUGGGCUAGGCUGUUUGUCUCUGCAGCUAAUCCCACUAAUACAACUUAAAGAAGCCCAGGAAUGAGAUAGAGGUGAAAAUCUCUAAACAGCGUUGGCAGCAAACAGGAAGCAGCACCAGAGGAGAGCCGGAAUCUCACAAAAAGGAACAGUGUGGGUGAGAACAAAACAGCAGCAACAACAAGCCGUCUCUUAUCAGAAGAGCGCUGAAUCCAUCAACAUGAAUUAACCAUAUUUCACUCCAAGGGAGAUGAAGCAGAGUCUUGUUUCUCUAGACAUUAAAAAAAAU
RNAcentral lists this long non-coding RNA (726 nucleotides) under Equus caballus (horse). RNAcentral describes it as "lncRNA (ENSECAG00000056703.1)". Lineage: Eukaryota; Metazoa; Chordata; Mammalia; Perissodactyla; Equidae. The record is from RNAcentral.